AACGCACCUUGCGCUCCUUGGUAUUCCGAGGAGCAUGCCUGUUUGAGUGUCAUUCAAAUCAUCAACCCCGUCGAUCUUUGAUCGGUCGGAGGCUUGGACUUUGGAGCGUGCUGGCCCUGAGGUCGGCUCCUCUUUAAAUGCAUCAGCGGAAAGCCCAUUGACGUUUCCCGUCGGCGUGAUAACACUGUUGCGUCGUCAGGGUCUGGUUGGGGCUCGCUUAUAAUCGUCUUCGGACAACAUCCCAUUUUGACCUCAAAUCAGGUAGGACUACCCGCUGAACUUAA
RNAcentral lists this unclassified non-coding RNA (284 nucleotides) under Amphinema sp. (in: basidiomycete fungi). RNAcentral describes it as "partial contains 5.8S ribosomal RNA, internal transcribed spacer 2, and large subunit ribosomal RNA". The stretch from base 1 to 52 matches the Rfam family "5.8S ribosomal RNA", at positions 103 to 154 of the family's 154-position model. RNAcentral also lists the same sequence under 2 other names. Lineage: Eukaryota; Fungi; Basidiomycota; Agaricomycetes; Atheliales; Atheliaceae. The record is from RNAcentral.